CUCUUUCGGUGCAUGAAUCAUAGGCUGAGUGUUAUUUUGGGUCAUUCGUACCUUGGAGGUGUCAUGCCCUCAGUUUAAAAGGUACAUAUAGGAUUCAUUACACUUUGGUAAAUUCGAGGAAGUGGAAAACACAAAGAUGAAGCAGAAACAUCAAACAGACGAAUCAGAGCCCCUUUGCCUCGAGAAUCCAUUUUAAAUCAGUCAUUACUGUUUUACCUCAAGUGAACUGGAGGGAGACGCUCACUCCUUCCCUCAGUAUUUUGUAUGGAUAAAGCUAUGAGGAAUUAAAUUGAAAUCAAAUGGGA
Molecule: long non-coding RNA, 305 nt
Organism: Sinocyclocheilus grahami
Lineage: Eukaryota; Metazoa; Chordata; Actinopteri; Cypriniformes; Cyprinidae
Exons: 3
Source: RefSeq, a predicted model, not a curated record